This is a long non-coding RNA of Lytechinus pictus (painted urchin), 267 nucleotides long. RefSeq lists it as uncharacterized. Lineage: Eukaryota; Metazoa; Echinodermata; Echinoidea; Temnopleuroida; Toxopneustidae. The record is from RefSeq and is a predicted model, not a curated record. The transcript has 3 exons.
GUAUAAUGACCACCCAGACUACGGUUCAAAUGAUGGGAGACGCCAAGCCAUCGAUCGCAUGCGAGUGAAUGGAGCAUCCGGUCAAUGGAACCCAAGAAUGGCAGAAGAUAGGCGUCAUUUUAGUACUCCCUUUGUCGUGGAUGGAGGAUACCCGGAAAGACGUGUGGAUAGAAAAGCAAUCGGUUAUUGAUUGAUAUGAUGACUUCUACCUUCGGAAAGGCACGGAUAAGACAACGGAACAUGGAUUUGUGAUAAAUGUUGCAUACC